Molecule: transfer RNA, 68 nt
Filed under: Cherax quinquecarinatus
Lineage: Eukaryota; Metazoa; Arthropoda; Malacostraca; Decapoda; Parastacidae
Description: tRNA-Lys
Source: RNAcentral
GCUCUAGAUAACUUUGUAAGUUUAGGUCUUUUAAACCUAAAAAAGUAGCUAUAGCCCUACUUCUAGUG